GGGUUGUGAGGUUAAGCGACUAAGCGUACACGGUGGAUGCCCUGGCAGUCAGAGGCGAUGAAGGGCGUGCUAAUCUGCGAUAAGCGCCGGUAAGGUGAUAUGAACCGUUAUAACCGGCGAUACCCGAAUGGGGAAACCCAGUGUGAUUCGUCACACUAUCAUUAACUGAAUCCAUAGGUUAAUGAGGCGAACCGGGGGAACUGAAACAUCUAAGUACCCCGAGGAAAAGAAAUCAACCGAGAUUCCCCCAGUAGCGGCGAGCGAACGGGGAGGAGCCCAGAGCCUGAAUCAGCAUGUGUGUUAGUGGAAGCGUCUGGAAAGGCGCGCGAUACAGGGUGACAGCCCCGUACACAAAAGCGCAUGUGCUGUGAGCUCGAUGAGUAGGGCGGGACACGUGGUAUCCUGUCUGAAUAUGGGGGGACCAUCCUCCAAGGCUAAAUACUCCUGACUGACCGAUAGUGAACCAGUACCGUGAGGGAAAGGCGAAAAGAACCCCGGCGAGGGGAGUGAAAAAGAACCUGAAACCGUGUACGUACAAGCAGUGGGAGCNNGUGACUGCGUACCUUUUGUAUAAUGGGUCAGCGACUUAUAUUCUGUAGCAAGGUUAACCGAAUAGGGGAGCCGGAGGGAAACCGAGUCUUAAUUGGGCGUUAAGUUGCAGGGUAUAGACCCGAAACCCGGUGAUCUAGCCAUGGGCAGGUUGAAGGUUGGGUAACACUAACUGGAGGACCGAACCGACUAAUGUUGAAAAAUUAGCGGAUGACCUGUGGCUGGGGGUGAAAGGCCAAUCAAACCGGGAGAUAGCUGGUUCUCCCCGAAAGCUAUUUAGGUAGCGCCUCGUGAAUUCAUCUCCGGGGGUAGAGCACUGUUUCGGCUAGGGGGCCAUCCCGGCUUACCAACCCGAUGCAAACUGCGAAUACCGGAGAAUGUUAUCACGGGAGACACACGGCGGGUGCUAACGUCCGUCGUGAAGAGGGAAACAACCCAGACCGCCAGCUAAGGUCCCAAAGUCAUGGUUAAGUGGGAAACGAUGUGGGAAGGCCCAGACAGCCAGGAUGUUGGCUUAGAAGCAGCCAUCAUUUAAAGAAAGCGUAAUAGCUCACUGGUCGAGUCGGCCUGCGCGGAAGAUGUAACGGGGCUAAACCAUGCACCGAAGCUGCGGCAGCGANNUGCUGGAGGUAUCAGAAGUGCGAAUGCUGACAUAAGUAACGAUAAAGCGGGUGAAAAGCCCGCUCGCCGGAAGACCAAGGGUUCCUGUCCAACGUUAAUCGGGGCAGGGUGAGUCGACCCCUAAGGCGAGGCCGAAAGGCGUAGUCGAUGGGAAACGGGUUAAUAUUCCCGUACUUGGUGUUACUGCGAAGGGGGGACGGAGAAGGCUAUGUUGGCCGGGCGACGGUUGUCCCGGUUUAAGCGUGUAGGUGUGUGUUCCAGGUAAAUCCGGUUCACUUUAACACUGAGGCGUGACGACGAGGCACUACGGUGCUGAAGCAACAAAUGCCCUGCUUCCAGGAAAAGCCUCUAAGCAUCAGGUAACAUCAAAUCGUACCCCAAACCGACACAGGUGGUCAGGUAGAGAAUACCAAGGCGCUUGAGAGAACUCGGGUGAAGGAACUAGGCAAAAUGGUGCCGUAACUUCGGGAGAAGGCACGCUGACACGUAGGUGAAGUGAUUUACUCAUGGAGCUGAAGUCAGUCGAAGAUACCAGCUGGCUGCAACUGUUUAUUAAAAACACAGCACUGUGCAAACACGAAAGUGGACGUAUACGGUGUGACGCCUGCCCGGUGCCGGAAGGUUAAUUGAUGGGGUCAGCGCAAGCGAAGCUCCUGAUCGAAGCCCCGGUAAACGGCGGCCGUAACUAUAACGGUCCUAAGGUAGCGAAAUUCCUUGUCGGGUAAGUUCCGACCUGCACGAAUGGCGUAAUGAUGGCCAGGCUGUCUCCACCCGAGACUCAGUGAAAUUGAACUCGCUGUGAAGAUGCAGUGUACCCGCGGCAAGACGGAAAGACCCCGUGAACCUUUACUAUAGCUUGACACUGAACAUUGAGCCUUGAUGUGUAGGAUAGGUGGGAGGCUUUGAAGUGUGGACGCCAGUCUGCAUGGAGCCGACCUUGAAAUACCACCCUUUAAUGUUUGAUGUUCUAACGUGGACCCGUAAUCCGGGUUGCGGACAGUGUCUGGUGGGUAGUUUGACUGGGGCGGUCUCCUCCUAAAGAGUAACGGAGGAGCACGAAGGUUGGCUAAUCCUGGUCGGACAUCAGGAGGUUAGUGCAAUGGCAUAAGCCAGCUUGACUGCGAGCGUGACGGCGCGAGCAGGUGCGAAAGCAGGUCAUAGUGAUCCGGUGGUUCUGAAUGGAAGGGCCAUCGCUCAACGGAUAAAAGGUACUCCGGGGAUAACAGGCUGAUACCGCCCAAGAGUUCAUAUCGACGGCGGUGUUUGGCACCUCGAUGUCGGCUCAUCACAUCCUGGGGCUGAAGUAGGUCCCAAGGGUAUGGCUGUUCGCCAUUUAAAGUGGUACGCGAGCUGGGUUUAGAACGUCGUGAGACAGUUCGGUCCCUAUCUGCCGUGGGCGCUGGAGAACUGAGGGGGGCUGCUCCUAGUACGAGAGGACCGGAGUGGACGCAUCACUGGUGUUCGGGUUGUCAUGCCAAUGGCACUGCCCGGUAGCUAAAUGCGGAAGAGAUAAGUGCUGAAAGCAUCUAAGCACGAAACUUGCCCCGAGAUGAGUUCUCCCUGAGACUUAGAGUCUCCUGAAGGAACGUUGAAGACGACGACGUUGAUAGGCCGGGUGUGUAAGCGCAGCGAUGCGUUGAGCUAACCGGUACUAAUGAACCGUGAGGCUUAACCUUA
This 2847-nucleotide ribosomal RNA is filed under the name Salmonella enterica subsp. enterica serovar Typhimurium. Its description in RNAcentral is "partial 23S ribosomal RNA". It matches the Rfam family "Bacterial large subunit ribosomal RNA". The record is from RNAcentral. Lineage: Bacteria; Pseudomonadati; Pseudomonadota; Gammaproteobacteria; Enterobacterales; Enterobacteriaceae.